AAGCAAUAUACAUGCACCAAUGCCAUCUUCGAAAGGAGGCCACGGAAGGAGAUCAACGCUACACACGCCACCAUUUUGUGGGCAUUGCUGCUUGUGCAGUUCAAGGAGGCGGUUGUGUGUAUUAUAAUAUUAUAAAAUUCCUUAAAUAAAUUUACACAUUCAAAACAAUGUCACGUUAUCGUGAAUGGGAUCUUUCUUGCAAAGUUUAUGUUGGUAACCUGGGAAACAGUGCUAGCAAACAUGAAAUUGAAACUGCAUUCAGUAAAUAUGGCCCACUAAGAAAUGUGUGGGUUGCACGAAACCCACCUGGAUUCGCAUUCGUAGAGUUUGAAGACUCACGAGAUGCAGAAGAUGCAGUUAGAGGGUUAGAUGGAACACGCUGCUGUGGAACCAGAGUAAGAGUAGAAAUGUCCUCAGGAAGGAGUCGACGUGGAGGUGGUGGCCGGAGACCAGGUCCAAGAUACUCCAGAUUCUACCAGCGUCAGCUCCUAGCUCUGCUCGUCUCCCCGCCACUACUACUACUGCUACUACUACUACUACUACUACAGCCACCGUGAAAAAAAGUCUAGCAAUCAAAACUGAACAAAAAAAAGCCUGCCUGCCCACUAACUUCCCAACCAGUCACCAUCAGUCACCACCAGUCACCGGUAGGAGCCAAGUCGUCCGUCAGUUGACAGUCCGAUGCUGUCCGUCAGUCCGUCAGUCCGUCUGUUCCCCUUCAAAAAGACUUCUUCGGGCUACCUCAACCUCUAGCGGCUAGGAGCAUCGUGAAUCCAUCGAACAGCCGACGCGAUAUGAACGAAUACUUCUGUCAAAAUCUCGGCGCGUCAGUCCGUCCGUCCGUUCCAACUUCUACUACUACUACUACUACUACUGCUACUACUACUACUCGUCAACCAUCACGUUAAACUUAGCCGACAACGCGACCGCCACUUCUCUUCGACUGAGCAAAGCAAAAUGAUCACCACCUACACACCAUCCCACCACCACCCAACCAAGUACCACCACCACCAACCACCACUACAUGUUCACAGUUGUCUGGUCAAGGUCCCGUAGCCCUCGCAGGAGAUCUCUGACCCGUAGCCGCAGCCGAGACCGCCGUUCUCGUUCGGAUUCCCGUGAUAGACGG
Molecule: unclassified non-coding RNA, 1129 nt
Filed under: Megachile rotundata (alfalfa leafcutting bee)
Lineage: Eukaryota; Metazoa; Arthropoda; Insecta; Hymenoptera; Megachilidae
Description: rNA-binding protein 1, transcript variant X2
Source: RNAcentral